UACGUAGGGUGCGAGCGUUGUCCGGAAUUAUUGGACGUAAAGAGCUCGUAGGCGGUCUGUCGCGUCGGCUGUGAAAACCCGGAGCUCAACUCCGGGCCUGCAGUCGAUACGGGCAAACUGGAGUGUUGCAGGGGAGACUGGAAUUCCUGGUGUAGCGGUGAAAUGCGCAGAUAUCAGGAGGAACACCGGUGGCGAAGGCGGGUCUCUGGGCAACAACUGACGCUGAGGAGCGAAAGCGUGGGGAGCGAACAGG
RNAcentral lists this ribosomal RNA (253 nucleotides) under uncultured bacterium. RNAcentral describes it as "partial 16S ribosomal RNA". It matches the Rfam family "Bacterial small subunit ribosomal RNA", at positions 524 to 776 of the family's 1533-position model. The record is from RNAcentral.